This 304-nucleotide long non-coding RNA is filed under the name Elaeis guineensis (African oil palm). RNAcentral's name for it is "long non-coding RNA (EGUI_LNC069160)". Lineage: Eukaryota; Viridiplantae; Streptophyta; Magnoliopsida; Arecales; Arecaceae. The record is from RNAcentral.
AGGUUGAUCGGUCCACUACUAAGGAUCUAUGGUAGGUCAAAAAGCGAAGAAAAGAUUGCCCACCACUUGUCCUUGUACGUGCUAUCAGAUAUAGUCUUUCUAUGAAAGCUCGUAGGACCAGCUAACAAACAAAAAGGGAUUCAGACUUGCCUGGUUCUUGUCUAUCAAAGAGGGAUCUAUGAUUGCGCUUGAUCGUAGACUUGUAGCAUGGGUGAAAAUUCUUCAUCUUAGGUAGUGAAGAUGGACAGCUCAUCGUCUUCGAAAUAGGAAGGGAUGAUUCUUGCCAAACUCUGUCAUGCCCAUC